This 72-nucleotide transfer RNA is filed under the name Ovis aries (sheep). It matches the Rfam family "tRNA". From Rfam's summary of the family: Transfer RNA (tRNA) molecules are approximately 80 nucleotides in length. Their secondary structure includes four short double-helical elements and three loops (D, anti-codon, and T loops). The record is from Rfam by way of RNAcentral. Lineage: Eukaryota; Metazoa; Chordata; Mammalia; Artiodactyla; Bovidae.
UCCCUCAUAGCUCAGUUGGUACAGAAUCUGCCUGCAAUGCAGAAGACCCCAGUUCAAUUCCGGGGUUGGGAA